UACGUAGGGUGCAAGCGUUAAUCGGAAUACUGGGCGUAAAGCGUGCGCAGGCGGUUAUGUAAGACAGAUGUGAAAUCCCCGGGCUCAACCUGGGAACUGCAUUUGUGACUGCAUAGCUAGAGUACGGUAGAGGGGGAUGGAAUUCCGCGUGUAGCAGUGAAAUGCGUAGAUAUGCGGAGGAACACCGAUGGCGAAGGCAAUCCCCUGGACCUGUACUGACGCUCAUGCACGAAAGCGUGGGGAGCAAAUGGG
This 252-nucleotide ribosomal RNA is filed under the name uncultured bacterium. RNAcentral describes it as "partial 16S ribosomal RNA". It matches the Rfam family "Bacterial small subunit ribosomal RNA", at positions 524 to 776 of the family's 1533-position model. The record is from RNAcentral.